Molecule: ribosomal RNA, 510 nt
Filed under: uncultured Burkholderiales bacterium
Lineage: Bacteria; Pseudomonadati; Pseudomonadota; Betaproteobacteria; Burkholderiales
Description: bacterial SSU rRNA
Rfam family: Bacterial small subunit ribosomal RNA
Source: RNAcentral
AGAGUUUGUAGUCCUGGCUCAGAUGUAACGCUGGCGGCAUGCCUUACACAUGCAAGUCGAACGGCAGCACGGGGGCGAACCCUCGGUGGCGAGUGGCGAACGGGUGAGUAACAUAUCGGAACGGUACCCAGUAGUGGGGGAGUAGCUCGGCGAAAGCCGGAUUAAUACCGCAUACGCACUGAGGUGGAAAGCGGGGGAUCGCAAGACCUCGCGCUAGUGGAGCGGCCGAUAUCUGAUUAGCUAGUUGGUGGGGUAAAAGCCUACCAAGGCGACGAUCAGUAGCUGGUCUGAGAGGACGACCAGCCACACUGGAACUGAGACACGGUCCAGACUCCUACGGGAGGCAGCAGUGGGGAAUUUUGGACAAUGGGGGCAACCCUGAUCCAGCAAUGCCGCGUGAGUGAAGAAGGCCUUCGGGUUGUAAAGCUCUUUUGUCUGGGAAGAAAUCCCCUGGGAUAAUACCUCGGGGGGAUGACGGUACCGGAAGAAUAAGCACCGGCUAACUACGUG